Molecule: ribosomal RNA, 519 nt
Filed under: uncultured bacterium
Lineage: Bacteria
Description: bacterial SSU rRNA
Rfam family: Bacterial small subunit ribosomal RNA
Source: RNAcentral
GACGAACGCUGGCGGCGUGCCUAAUACAUGCAAGUCGAGCGGACUUGAUGAGAAGCUUGCUUCUCUGAUAGUUAGCGGCGGACGGGUGAGUAACACGUAGGCAACCUGCCUGCAAGCCUGGGAUAACUGCGGGAAACCGCAGCUAAUACCGGAUACGCAGUUGAGACACAUGUCUUGACUGGGAAAGGCGGAGCAAUCUGUCGCUUGUAGAUGGGCCUGCGGCGCAUUAGCUAGUUGGAGAGGUAACGGCUCACCAAGGCGACGAUGCGUAGCCGACCUGAGAGGGUGAUCGGCCACACUGGGACUGAGACACGGCCCAGACUCCUACGGGAGGCAGCAGUAGGGAAUCUUCCGCAAUGGACGCAAGUCUGACGGAGCAACGCCGCGUGAGUGAGGAAGGCCUUCGGGUCGUAAAGCUCUGUUGCCAGGGAAGAAUGUCGAGGAGAGUAACUGCUCUUCGAAUGACGGUACCUGAGAAGAAAGCCCCGGCUAACUACGUGCCAGCCGCCGCCGUAACAC